This 29-nucleotide small RNA is filed under the name Bombyx mori (domestic silkworm). Its description in RNAcentral is "ovarian small RNA-27964". Lineage: Eukaryota; Metazoa; Arthropoda; Insecta; Lepidoptera; Bombycidae. The record is from RNAcentral.
UCCUGUAAUAGAGAUUUGAGAUACAAUGC